Long non-coding RNA from Eucalyptus grandis, 437 nucleotides. RefSeq lists it as uncharacterized. The transcript has 3 exons. The record is from RefSeq and is a predicted model, not a curated record. Lineage: Eukaryota; Viridiplantae; Streptophyta; Magnoliopsida; Myrtales; Myrtaceae.
UUAAGAGCGAGUUCACCUCUUAUUCCUGGAAGAAGAAAAGCAACGAUCUUUACGUACACAUAUCCAUGGGAUUCUCCGUGCUUUGACGGAGGGAAGGCAUAUGAGAAGAACCCCUUUCACCCAAACUCAGAAUCCUGAUGGAGCCAUCCAGAUGGGUCUUGCCGAGAAUCAGCUUUCCUUCGAUCUGAUGGAAGAGUGGAUGAAGAGCAAUCCUACGGCAUCCAUUUACACUUCAGAUGGGGUUGGCAAGUUCAAGGACAUCGCCAACGCCAAUUUCCAAUGACUCAUGACCUCCUCGAAUUCACACAAGCUGUUGCCGAGUUCAUGGGAAGGUCCGAGGUAAUAAACGGAAUUUGACCAGAAUCAUACUGACAUGAUUGAUGGAACGACCGGAGCGAGCGAGAUGCUCAUUUAUUGCUUUCCUGGAGACGCUUUCC